Molecule: long non-coding RNA, 6137 nt
Organism: Xiphophorus hellerii (green swordtail)
Lineage: Eukaryota; Metazoa; Chordata; Actinopteri; Cyprinodontiformes; Poeciliidae
Exons: 2
Source: RefSeq, a predicted model, not a curated record
AAAACAUGACUGAUGUUAUUACACUUUUCAAGCCGGCGCGCCUUCAGUCAUGGGGAUGUGGUUGUUUAUGGAGAGAUGGAGGAGAAGGAAGCCACCUGGUCAAGAGGGGGUCAAACUUGAAGUGUUCUGACAGAAGUAAAAUGCCACAAACCUCUCCUUAAACUUCCUGUCGAAGUGUGUCCCUGCGUCAGGGGAACUCCUCUGGAGCCAAGUGUCCUAUGUGUGUGUGUGGGGGGGCGUGUGCGCAAGGGUGUUGGAUGAAUCUCUCAGUUUUUGGAGCAGGGUGAGGGAGGGAUUGCAGCCAGGCACAUGCCUUGGGAUAUUGAGAUGGCCGGUGAUGGACAGGGCAAGACAAGGAGGAUAUCCCCUGUUUGUCUUAAGGAGCGGAGCUGCCAUGUCACACAUACUCUCGGGGGGGAAAAGUCUGUCUCCAGGAUGGAUUUCUUUGUGUGUGUGUGCAUGUGCGCGAUGUGAGGAGAAUGAGACAGAUAGGUAAUGCAUUCGGUUUAUUUUGUGCGCACAUUCAGGGUCACAGACCUAGGGGCCAUCUACUUCAAACUGGUUUAGUCAGACAAGGCAAGGCCACAUUAACACACAGCAUGACUUAGUAAUGGAGAGACCCUGAGCUUGGUGCUGCUCAUGUGGGACUACAAUAAAAAAAAAAUCAACACAUAUCUUACAUAUCUUUAUGGAAAUUACCUUUUUAAUGCCAUUACAGUCACCUUGACAAGUCGGUAAAAAUGAAAUGAAGUGAAUGUAACAGUCCUCAAACACAAGGGCUUGACCUCGACAAUAUCAAGCUGUGCAUGAAGCUCUAGGUGAAUCUUAAAUCUUGCUGUGUGUUGUUAAGUGUGUCCACAGCUGCCUGUUAAGUGGGCAAUGUUUGUGUGUAAGCGUGUGAUGUAGCAUCAGGGGGUUAAAUGGAGAGGGACGGGCCUCCAAUCUGUUAGGACAAGGAGAAAACAGCUUCAAAGACUCAACAUCAACCCUCCCCACAUACACACACACACCCGCACACUGACGGACAGUCCAUUGCUCCCAGCAUAUCUCUAUUUUGUCCUUGGACUGUCUGAAUACCACUGGAGGCGAGCAUGAUUUGAGAGAGCAAGUGGGAACAAGAGAGACAGGGAGCCAGAGAGAAGAGAAGAAAGAGCCAAAUGAUAGAGAGAAGAAGAGAGAGAGAGAAAGGAGGCGUCCCCUCAAUGACAUCUAAAGAGAUAACUCACUCUCCAGAGCUUCUUUUCUCUUGCUAUCACUUUCCCAGGCAGCACUCCAUCCACAUAAGGCCUGAGAAGGGACUGUGUGUUAACUUUAGCAAUCUGAAAUACAUGAGUGGAAGUACAACAAAUACAGCUUACUACAGGGAGAGAAAACAUGAUAUUUAGUUAUUUCUAUGUUAUCAAAAGUUUAAACAAAUGAUAAUCAGUCUGAAAAUUUCACUUUUAUAUCUGGUGGGAAAAUGCUGCCAGUUAUAUUAUGUAUUGCAAAUCUAACUAUUUUUUUCCACAAUUCAACUCAAAGUUAAAUAUUUCAAUGGAAAUAGCAUAUUUAUGUACUUGAAUGGUUUAGACAAAAUCCAGGCCUAAACCCAAUCGAGAAUCUGAGGCAAGACUUAAAGUUCCUGUUAACAUUUGGCCUCCAUUCAACAUAUUUUUUGCCAGCCACUGUAUGUCUGGAGUCAGAAAUGAUGACGUGGAAAACUAGUUUCACCAAGCGGAAAACCUGAUUUAUUUACACGAUAUUAAGUUAGACAUAUCCUUAAUGCUAUAUGUAAGCAUGCUCUUCAUAUUGGCAUUAUGUAGUUCGUUAUGAAGCUGCACUCAAAUAACUUUUUAAAUUAAUUAUGCUAGGAGCACAGUGCACAGUGCACUCAAAACUCAACGUUGAGAGAAAAACACAAAGAACUGAGUCACAGCAAUUCUACAAACACUGAAACAAAAACAGAGAAAAACACAAAGUAAUCCACUGCCACCGCUAUUGUUGGAUACGCUCCAUUUGCAGACACAGAAAACAGUAGGGAAGACUUAACCUUUUGAUAAGCUCCUACUUGUUCCCGCUGUAUGCAUUUUUCAUUGAAACAUGUGAGUCAGAAAGAGAAAGAACUUCCACACUCACUCCUCUGAGAGGAGAAAGGUUACAGCCUGCAGUCUGGUCUUAGCAAGUACACUGCAUUCUGAUUCAAUGUAAUGCUGAUUAGCAGAGAAUGACAUUAAAGAAAUAUUGAUUCUAUAUAUUCAAAAAUGAGAAAGUACAAUUAUAAAGAGUAAAGCAUCAAAUAAAAGCCUUAAGAUGUAAGAAUCUGCUGUUCUUAAGCAAAAACAUGCAAAGAGAUGUUUGAGUUGAUCUGUGGGUCUAAAAACCACAAGAUUCUAUGUAUUUUAUUCUGAUUUUAUACAAAAGACCAACAAAAGGUCCAGCAUAUCUGCAAAGUGAAAGGAAAACUAUGCAUACACAGUAAUAAAUCUAGUUGCUCUGUCAAGGUUGUAGUUCAUCUGGGAAUCCGAUAGCACUUUGAGCAACCCGCAUAUUGUUUUUAUUGCCAAUUUUCUAUUAAUUGGUCAUUUCUGAAUCAAUACAUGGAUAAUCAUAAAUAGACAAAGAUGAUUUGCUUCCCUUCAGGAGCAUUCACAGGUGAUGGGAUAAGAUGUGGGAGGUCAAGUUCUGAAAAAAAAGCCUAAUAUAUAAUAAUAAAACAUUCAUUUGAGUCAGUUAAGUUGAUGCUGGGGGACAUUCAUCAUAUACAAUAAUUACAAACCAAGAGAAAACCCAAAAAGAGAAAACACAUCAGCAGAAACUCUACACUGCAAACUGUAUACAGAAAUCACAAGUAACAUGUGAUGUGCUGAAGACAGUUCUUGAGGCAGGUAAUGUGGAAAGAGGGAAAACAAUAUUUAAAUACUAAAGUUAGAAGACAUUGGGCUCUGUAGACACACAGAGGGAAAUCAUAAGGGUGAGUGGCAAAGUAAAACUGCAGGAAGAGAAAGAAACAGCACAGCAAAGCAUAAAAUCUACCUUCUGUCCUAAUUUAAAUGGGCUAUGAAUACUGUGUUUACAACGUAUAUUUUAUGCCUUCCAGUUCAAACACAGCUUCAUCUGCACUCAGCUGCUAAGUGAUAUGAUUUCACUUUUUAUAGCAGCGCCCCCAUCCCACUCAUCCAACCCGCCACCCCCAGUUCCACUGUUAUUCAAUGUGGUGUGAUUCUGCACGCCUCGUGUGUCGACUUUCAACUGUACAACCCCCCAAGGGCCAAAGAAGCAUAUUAAAUCCCUCCCUAACCCUUUCUUGUUCCCCUCCUUAAGCAAAAUCUCCAUCCUAGAAACGCAUCUAAGCGAACAUACGCACACAACCAAGGAAACAUGCUGCAAAUGGAGAUGACUGCCUCAUAUUUUACAGCUGUUAAAGUUUCUUUCUGUAUUUAUUGCUGUGUCCAUGAGCAGUUUCUCCCGAGAUCAGAGUGGCCCUCUUUGACCUUUGUGCAGAGCUUCUCUAAUGUUGAACUAUAAUGCACAACCACUUAGGUUACUUUGGUUUAAUGAUGCCUUCACAUGCACACUUUCACACAUUCUAAUACACAUAACACAGUUGUCCAAGAUUACACUCCACAAUAAAAGCAUAAGCGUAGCGUUAAGCUCAGUGAAAGGUGCUGUGAUGGUAUCUAGGGUUACAAAUCCAAUAAACUGGCAUUAAAUGACAAAGUGAGCAUUUACUGUCACCAUAAAACAUCCAAGACAAAUUUAAAUAUUUUAUGAGAAAACCCUUGGGGGGAAAAAACAAUUUCUCUGAUGCAGUCACCAGAUUAACGUUAUGUUCAUAUCCUUUCAUAAACUACAUAAUUUUUAUUACACUUUCAUGUCAUAAUUUUUUUUCGCCUAGUGCAAAGUUACACUUCUGCACAUUUACUCCAAACCCUUCACUUGAAAUUUUUGUCCGUCAGAAGGUUCAUUUCCUACUAAAAUACGCCCUUCCAUCUCCUUCCCUCUUCUUUCUCAGUUAUCUGACUACAUACUGUUUGCGCUAGCAGAAAAUUCCCACUUCACCUCGGGGGAAAAAGGCAUUUUUUCUCUGCUGUGCUCAUCUCUCAUUCUACUCUUGUAUGUUUUCCAUGCUGGCAAAGCUUCCUUUCCCUGCAUGCAGCAGGGAGUUUGCGCCGUCUCUGGUAGUCCCAUAAGGAAACCUACAGUGUGAUGUUACAAUCUUCCAUCCAGAGGGAUCCCCUCCCUCCAACUGCUCUUUUCUUUCUUUCCCUGCAGGUUGUUCAAGUUCUUCUUAUUUUUUUUACUUCUUUGAAUGCUUUUUAGUGUCUCCCUCACUCUGUUAUUUGACUCUUAAACCUCUAACUCUACCAUAUUACUUGUAUCAGACAGUAUCAAAAUCUUAAAUUUUUUUCCGUUUAUUUUAAAUAUUACCCUGCAUUUUUAAAUAAUUAUGAAAAAGGGUUAAAAAGAGGGAAAAUGGUAGAUCUGCUUCUGUACAAAACAAUCACUUUGUAUAGAUGAACAAAGCUGAAAAUUCCUAGAAAGGUGAAAUAACUGGGAAUACUGCAUAUGCUAUUCUAAUUAUACUAUGAAUAAACAUUCCUCAAGUACACUAUCUACAGAGAAAGAGCGAAAAAGAAAUAGGCAACCCCCCCCCCCCCCCCCCCCCCCCAAAAAAAAACCCACUAGUGUCUGCAUUUUUCCUCAAAAACUCAAACAUUUACUAUGUAAAAUAUUUGAUGUCACCCCACAAGUAUUUUCAUUGGAUUAAUGUGCAACAAUUUGGGUGCACACUUCAUGAAGUUAAGCUUGUUGAUUUGGACUGGGAAGCGGAUGAUGUUUGCUUACUGGUGUGCAAUGGGUGGUUAUCUUAUAAAAUCAAAAAACAAACACCAACAUUUCAAGAGCAUUUCCUGUUCAACAUGUCCUCUUCAAGAAUUUUAAUAUCCAAACUGACCCAUGGUUCCAGUUAUGCAAUAAAUGGACUUGAGAUGAUGAUGAAGCGUCCCACCAUGCGUUAAAGUGCACAAUGAUUUCAAUUCAGAGUUUGAAAUUGUCUACAUUCUUUAGACUAAAAAAAAAAGAAAUGUACUUUUAUUCAUCCAUACAAUGUUGCUCAUUCCUUAGGCCAGUAAAUGCACUGUUUGGUAAGUUUUGCUUUCCCAUAGAAUGAAUGAUCUCAGAUUAAACUCCAGUUAUCAUUUCAUACAAACCGUUAGGAGCACAUACUGUAUAUAUAUAUACAGUAUGUGCUGUAUAUGUACUGUAUAUAUAUAUACAAUAUAUAUAUAUAUAUAUAUAUAUAUAUAUAUAUAUAUAUAUAUAUAUAUAUAUAUACAUAUAUAUAUACUUAUAUUCACUGUUUAGUCUGUUGAUUUUCUAUUCUUCCGCAAUACCUAAUAAAUUUUUUAGCAUGUAGAAAUAUAACUUCUACCACCAUGACUCUUCAAUACAUCACUAAUGUAAGCAUCAUAGAAUUCAAAGCUGAGGUCAAAGGACUUAAUAAAAAUCAAUUACCUAGAUUUUAAAAUUCAGCAAAUACAAAUGAAAAGUGAAAACAUCAAUUUAUUGUCAGUACAUGAAAGAUUCUAAAUAUACCAGGUUUUAUGAAACCAGGAUUCCAAAGAGUAGGCGAGCUCUUUUUGACAAAAUGCAGAGCCUUCAGCUAAGACUGUUGUUGAAAUUCAUUUGACCUCUUAUCUGUGGACAAGGUCUGCCGUUAAUUAAGUCCCAUGUACAGCUGCCUGUAUAGCUAUUGAGUUUGUAGAGAAAUAUAGCGAUCUGAAAUCUUCACAAUUUCCUUUCAUUGAACAGGUUUUCUUUAGUCUAUAAAGUAUCAUAUCAGCACUGUAGUCAUGUGUGGAUUGGUGUUUUUAUUUUAAUAAGAGCACUUGUGCAAAGACACAUUUUGUUCUUUUCAUCGUUUAAAUCCUUGAACAGAUCCUGCACAUGUUCAGUGUAUUGCAUGUGUCCAUCCACCUUUGAAUUUUUCCACAUUUGUCACAUUUCAAACUCAAACUUCACUGUAUUUUCUUGGAAUUUUUAUUAACUGACCAGUAUAAAAUUACAUGCAUUAAUUGACAUGAAGCACAAAAAAAAGUAAAUAAAGUUAAAAAUUUUCACUUUACAAAUAAAAGUCCAAAAAGUGUGGUUUGAAUUGG